GAGUUUGAUCCUGGCUCAGAUUGAACGCUGGCGGCAGGCCUAACACAUGCAAGUCGAGCGGAUGACAGGAGCUUGCUCCUGAAUUCAGCGGCGGACGGGUGAGUAAUGCCUAGGAAUCUGCCUGGUAGUGGGGGACAACGUCUCGAAAGGGACGCUAAUACCGCAUACGUCCUACGGGAGAAAGUGGGGGAUCUUCGGACCUCACGCUAUCAGAUGAGCCUAGGUCGGAUUAGCUAGUUGGUGAGGUAAUGGCUCACCAAGGCGACGAUCCGUAACUGGUCUGAGAGGAUGAUCAGUCACACUGGAACUGAGACACGGUCCAGACUCCUACGGGAGGCAGCAGUGGGGAAUAUUGGACAAUGGGCGAAAGCCUGAUCCAGCCAUGCCGCGUGUGUGAAGAAGGUCUUCGGAUUGUAAAGCACUUUAAGUUGGGAGGAAGGGUUGUAGAUUAAUACUCUGCAAUUUUGACGUUACCGACAGAAUAAGCACCGGCUAACUCUGUGCCAGCAGCCGCGGUAAUACAGAGGGUGCAAGCGUUAAUCGGAAUUACUGGGCGUAAAGCGCGCGUAGGUGGUUUGUUAAGUUGAAUGUGAAAUCCCCGGGCUCAACCUGGGAACUGCUACAGCUAGAGUAGGGCAGAGGGGUGGAGAAGCGAUAUAGGAAGGAACACCAGUGCGAAGGCGACCACCGGGCUCAUA
RNAcentral lists this ribosomal RNA (698 nucleotides) under Pseudomonas reinekei. RNAcentral describes it as "bacterial SSU rRNA". It matches the Rfam family "Bacterial small subunit ribosomal RNA", at positions 9 to 739 of the family's 1533-position model. Lineage: Bacteria; Pseudomonadati; Pseudomonadota; Gammaproteobacteria; Pseudomonadales; Pseudomonadaceae. The record is from RNAcentral.